Molecule: ribosomal RNA, 1298 nt
Filed under: metagenome
Description: bacterial LSU rRNA
Rfam family: Bacterial large subunit ribosomal RNA
Source: RNAcentral
UACACGACCGUACCGCAAACCGACACUGGUGCGCGAGAUGAGUAUUCUAAGGCGCUUGAGAGAACUCAGGAGAAGGAACUCGGCAAAUUGACACCGUAACUUCGGAAGAAGGUGUGCCUUUAGUAGGUGAACCUGUACAAGGGGAGCCCAAUGAGGUUGCAAAAAAUCGGUGGCUGCGACUGUUUAAUAAAAACACAGCACUCUGCAAACACGAAAGUGGACGUAUAGGGUGUGACGCCUGCCCGGUGCUGGAAGAUUAAAUGAUGGGGUGCAAGCUCUUGAUUGAAGUCCCAGUAAACGGCGGCCGUAACAAUAACGGUCCUAAGGUAGCGAAAUUCCUUGUCGGGUAAGUUCCGACCUGCACGAAUGGCGUAACGAUGGCCACACUGUCUCCUCCUGAGACUCAGCGAAGUUGAAAUGUUUGUGAUGAUGCAAUCUCCCCGCGGAAAGACGGAAAGACCCCAUGAACCUUUACUGUAGCUUUGUAUUGGACUUUGAACAGAUCUGUGUAGGAUAGGUGGGAGGCUUUGAAGUGUGGUCGCUAGAUCGCAUGGAGCCAACGUUGAAAUACCACCCUGGUGUGUUUGAGGUUCUAACCUAGGCCCGUAAUCCGGGUCGGGGACAGUGCAUGGUAGGCAGUUUGACUGGGGCGGUCUCCUCCCAAAGCGUAACGGAGGAGUUCGAAGGUACGCUAGGUACGGUCGGACAUCGUGCUAAUAGUGCAAUGGCAUAAGCGUGCUUAACUGCGAGACUGACAAGUCGAGCAGAUGCGAAAGCAGGACAUAGUGAUCCGGUGGUUCUGUAUGGAAGGGCCAUCGCUCAACGGAUAAAAGGUACUCUGGGGAUAACAGGCUGAUACCGCCCAAGAGUUCAUAUCGACGGCGGUGUUUGGCACCUCGAUGUCGGCUCAUCUCAUCCUGGGGCUGUAGCCGGUCCCAAGGGUAUGGCUGUUCGCCAUUUAAAGAGGUACGUGAGCUGGGUUUAAAACGUCGUGAGACAGUUUGGUCCCUAUCUUCCGUGGGCGCUGCAGAUUUGAGGAAGCCUGCUCCUAGUACGAGAGGACCGGAGUGGACACACCUCUGGUGUAUCGGUUGUCACGCCAGUGGCAUUGCCGAGUAGCUAUGUGUGGAAGAGAUAACCGCUGAAAGCAUCUAAGCGGGAAACUCGUUUCAAGAUGAGAUCUGCCGGAGCCUUGAGCCCCCUAAAGAGUCGUUCAAGACCAGGACGUUGAUAGGUCGGGUGUGGAAGCGCAGUAAUGCGUUAAGCUAACCGAUACUAAUUGCUCGUGCGGCUUGAUC